AAGAAAAGAACAAAGAUGAGUCAGGAGUAUGAGAAAACAUCUUCUAGGUUCCCAUUCAAGAAAUAUGAUUGUAUAAGAUAAUUAUUAUACAUGGAGAUUUGGUUCAAGGUGGGAGGGAUACUGUCAAGACCGUGCCCCCAGGGAAUGAAGUGUAAUCUCUGCCACCU
Molecule: non-coding RNA, 167 nt
Organism: Microcebus murinus (gray mouse lemur)
Lineage: Eukaryota; Metazoa; Chordata; Mammalia; Primates; Cheirogaleidae
Source: RefSeq, a predicted model, not a curated record